GCCAAGUUGUUUGCAUGCAAACUGUCUUUUGGGAGACAACAACUAUCUGGAUUCUUAUCAGAGUUUGCAUAUUAUCAUUUUAUACAAGAGGAAGAAACUAACAUCAUGUUAAAUGAAUGGUGAUAAAAGCAUGUAGUUCCCUACUUCAACUUUUGACAUCUUCAGUUUCUUAUUAAAAAACAUUAAGGCGUAGAAUUCACAAUGUUGCCAGUACAGAAGGAAUAAUCUUUGAAGUUUAAGUUAGUCCUCCAGUGUUUGACCUUUUCAAAGGUUGUGUCACUCAU
RNAcentral lists this unclassified non-coding RNA (284 nucleotides) under Hevea brasiliensis (rubber tree). Lineage: Eukaryota; Viridiplantae; Streptophyta; Magnoliopsida; Malpighiales; Euphorbiaceae. The record is from RNAcentral.